This is a long non-coding RNA of Patella vulgata (common limpet), 474 nucleotides long. RefSeq lists it as uncharacterized. Lineage: Eukaryota; Metazoa; Mollusca; Gastropoda; Patellidae. The record is from RefSeq and is a predicted model, not a curated record. The transcript has 3 exons.
ACCAUGGGUGUAAAGGGUAUAAAUAGACGUGUUGGUGUCACUAGUAGACAUUAAUAGACAGAUUCAGUAAAGGUUCAGAUCUAGAGUUUAGUUAUAUUGUCAUCAUGAAGUGUGUCAUAUUUUUAGUGAUUGUCGCUACCUUGUACUUGACAUCAGCUGAAGAAAAUGAAGUUGAUUCUAAUCUGAGGAAAGCCAUGGAGGCCAUUAAUACUAUUGUCAAGAGAAGUUCCGAAGAAUCUGCCAACAUUGAAAAACGAGAGAAAGGUAUUCAUGUAAACGGGCGCUGCAGUAGUCUACUUGAAGACUGCAGCAGUGUACAACAUUGCUGUGGUGCAUUGGAGUGCCGAACGACAAAUGGAUAUUAUGGUUUUUUUGGUGGAAACUGCCGUGCACCAUAACAAAUUCUUUUAUAUGUUAAGUGUUUGUUAAGUAUUUACAUGAAUUUGAACGAAUAAAAAAUCGUGUUUUUUUUAA